CCCUUAGAUGUUCUGGGCCGCACGCGCGCUACACUGAUGCAUUCAACGAGUCCAACCUUGACCGAGAGGUCCGGGUAAUCUUUGAAACUGCAUCGUGAUGGGGCUAGAUUAUUGCAAUUAUUAAUCUUCAACGAGGAAUGCCUAGUAAGCGUGAUUCAUCAAAUCGCGUUGAUUACGUCCCUGCCCUUUGUACACACCGCCCGUCGCUCCUACCGAUUGAGUGUGUUGGUGAUGAGUUUGGAUUGGCCUCGGAAGGUGGUUCGCCACCGUCCGUAGCUGAGAAGUUCUCCAAACCGCCCCACUUAGAGGAAGGAGAAGUCGUAACA
RNAcentral lists this ribosomal RNA (326 nucleotides) under uncultured eukaryote. RNAcentral's name for it is "partial 18S ribosomal RNA". It matches the Rfam family "Eukaryotic small subunit ribosomal RNA", at positions 1470 to 1796 of the family's 1831-position model. The record is from RNAcentral.